This 854-nucleotide long non-coding RNA is filed under the name Manacus vitellinus (golden-collared manakin). RNAcentral describes it as "lncRNA (ENSMVIG00005002294.1)". The record is from RNAcentral. Lineage: Eukaryota; Metazoa; Chordata; Aves; Passeriformes; Pipridae.
CGGGGAGCUGGGGAUUCCUAAACCCUCUCUGUGAGGGGACAGAGCCCGCAGGGGUGCUGGGGCCCGCUGAUGCUGGCUAGUGGGUUGCCAGGGUUUGUCUCUUGUCUCUCAGUUCUCUCUUCUUACCAGGAGCAGUCCUGCCUGCCUCUCCCACAGCUCCAAGUCCACAAAGCACCGACUUUCUGGAGGUUUGUAAACCCCACAGAGCAUCUGUGUAAAUCAAGCCAUUUAUUUCUGCACCUUUGCUAAGGCCAGCCGGCCUCCCUUACCCACUUGAAGCUGAAAUGGGAUCAACAAGACUUUGCAGCACAUCCUUCCACUCAUGUCCGAUGGGCUUCUUCUUUCCCCCAGGUGGGAAAAAUGCAGGGACAAUGACUGAAGAGCUGCAUGGAAGAGAAGGUUAUGAUAGAGAUGGUCCCAUCAUCUACUGGCCACUCUCCAAAGAGACAAAAGAGAAGGGAGCCAAUGGGUUGAACACAAAAAUGGCCUGGAUGUGCUGGAUGGGAGGAGUGCAGCCAGACAAGCACAGGAGCCUUGGUCCUUCCAGCCAGGCACAAGGCUGGCUUCCUGGCUCCAGCGCUCCCUCUGGACCCCCCUUGGAUGGUCUGUCAUUAAUUUAGUGACUGACUUGAACUUCAGCAAUUAAAGUGUGGAUAUUUCACCACCUUAACAGUAACUGGAUCCUAUCCACUACUUAGCAGUGAUUUCAGACACUGACUUGAAUGAAACCUUUUCCCACAACGUUCAAAUUCAGUUCUCAACAGCUAAAGGGUAAGAGGUUCAGUAAUAACAUGGGAACAGGUGACCACUGAGAUGUGAAUAAAAUAGAGCAAAAUCAUGGUCUGUAUUGCCUU